GAGAUAUAUAGGGGAUUAUCCUAUGAUUUGACUUUGACGAAGUCAUGUAAUUCUUUACUAAUAUCUC
Molecule: transfer RNA, 67 nt
Filed under: Stylodipus telum (thick-tailed three-toed jerboa)
Lineage: Eukaryota; Metazoa; Chordata; Mammalia; Rodentia; Dipodidae
Description: tRNA-Asp
Source: RNAcentral